UGCUUUAAAGUUAGGUAGUUAUAACGAAUUCAUAAUUGGUUGUUAAAUGAGAUUCUUCAAGAUAAUUAGCUACAGAAAUUGGUAGAGGAAAUUGAUAGAAGAAAUUGGUUUCUGAGGAAUUCAGGAUCCUUUUUACUCGCAACACGAUUGUCACGCCUGAGUUGUCGGGAAAAAAGCCGUGAAAUUAUCGAAACUUUUACUGACACGCGAAGUAUCAUGUAGAAGCUCUGAAAUACGUAACAUCGCCCUGUAUUCCAACAUUCGUAUUUACAUUGGACAGCGAGAGAAAUAGCGAUCACCCUGAAGACGAUUAGUACCGGUCACGAUCUCGGAUGACAAUUACAUGACACGGUGUUCGGACUUUCAUCUUUAUUUUGCGAACCACAUUUCGCGCUUCGCGUAAUAUCUUACGAAACGCUGCUCCAACGGUAUUAUAAAGAAAGAGACUCUUACUGCAGGGCAUGAAGAAUUAACUAUAUAACUCAAAAAUUACAAAGACUAAAUAAAAUUAUUUAGAAGACUAAAGACUAACUGAAAUAAAAAUUUUAACCAAGAAAUCGUAGAUCACUUAUCAAGUGAACAACUUGUAAUUACUGUAUCAUAUAUCGUAUCACAGGAAGUAAAUAGAAACUUGAUAAAGAGAUCUUUCAAAGAUAAAGAUAGAGUUAAUAAAGAUAGAAUUUUUGGAACUGUCAGAAAAGUUUAGUCCUCUGCAAUUUUUGCACAAUAAAAGAUCACCAGAGGAUCCAAUCAAAGGUACCUUUGUACCAAAAUAAUAUUCUUGUAAUUAAAAUAAUUGUUCAAAGUUAUUUCUUGAACACCCAUUUAAGUUAGAAGCUGCGUUUAUCAACCAGAAACAAAUCGUACAUACCGACGACCACGAAGAGGAACAAGGUCGUGGCGAUCUUCAUACUCGCCG
Megachile rotundata (alfalfa leafcutting bee) is the source of this 919-nucleotide long non-coding RNA. RefSeq lists it as uncharacterized. The record is from RefSeq and is a predicted model, not a curated record. Lineage: Eukaryota; Metazoa; Arthropoda; Insecta; Hymenoptera; Megachilidae.